GACGAACGCUGGGCGUGCUUAACACAUGCAAGUCGUACGGUAAGGCCCUUUCGGGGGUACACGAGUGGCGAACGGGUGAGUAACACGUGAGUAACCUGCCCACAACUUUGGGAUAACGCUAGGAAACUGGUGCUAAUACUGGAUAUGUGCUCCUGCUGCAUGGUGGGGGUUGGAAAGCUCCGGCGGUUGUGGAUGGACUCGCGGCCUAUCAGCUUGUUGGUGGGGUAGUGGCCUACCAAGGCGGCGACGGGUAGCCGGCCUGAGAGGGUGACCGGCCACAUUGGGACUGAGAUACGGCCCAGACUCCUACGGGAGGCAGCAGUGGGGAAUAUUGCACAAUGGGCGCAAGCCUGAUGCAGCAACGCCGCGUGCGGGAUGACGGCCUUCGGGUUGUAAACCGCUUUCAGCAGGGACGAAGCUUUUUGUGACGGUACCUGCAGAAGAAGCACCGGCUAACUACGUG
RNAcentral lists this ribosomal RNA (463 nucleotides) under uncultured bacterium. RNAcentral's name for it is "partial 16S ribosomal RNA". It matches the Rfam family "Bacterial small subunit ribosomal RNA", at positions 28 to 507 of the family's 1533-position model. The record is from RNAcentral.